RNAcentral lists this ribosomal RNA (62 nucleotides) under Succinea caduca. RNAcentral describes it as "partial 16S small subunit ribosomal RNA". The record is from RNAcentral. Lineage: Eukaryota; Metazoa; Mollusca; Gastropoda; Stylommatophora; Succineidae.
UGGUCCUAGUGAUUUGAUUACUUUUUAUAAAUUUCAUAUGAUAUGAUAAUUAUUUAAAAGUG